RNAcentral lists this transfer-messenger RNA (354 nucleotides) under Deltaproteobacteria bacterium. It matches the Rfam family "transfer-messenger RNA". Rfam says of the family: Bacterial tmRNA, also known as 10Sa RNA or SsrA, is named for its dual tRNA and mRNA-like properties. Its role is to liberate the mRNA from a stalled ribosome. To accomplish this part of the tmRNA is used as a reading frame that ends in a translation stop signal. The record is from RNAcentral. Lineage: Bacteria; Pseudomonadati; Myxococcota; Myxococcia.
GGGGGCGAACUAGGCUCGACGGAGUGCUGGCGGUGCUGUGCAGCAAGUCAAGGCGCUUAACCUUGUAAAAAUGAGCAAAACUAUAAAUGCCGAAGCUGAUACCUUCGAAUACGCAAUGGCUGCUUAAUUGUCAGUCACGUUGAUGAUUUCCUCUCCUGCGGGCAGUUAUCAACGUACAUCAGCGGGAUCGUUUUCUGAGUGUCUGAUCUCAGAGAAUUAAACCUAUUCAGGCUAUGAACUUUGCUAUCGUGUUCAUUCGAGAGUAAGGUUUAGAAAAUCAAAAAAUGAAAUAAACUUGUAGAAGCCAUCACUUAAUCAUUUCGGACGGGGGUGCGAUUCCCCCCGCCUCCAGUU